AACGAACGCUGGCGGCAUGCCUAACACAUGCAAGUCGAACGAGACCUUCGGGUCUAGUGGCGCACGGGUGCGUAACGCGUGGGAACCUGCCCUUAGGUUCGGAAUAACUCCCCGAAAGGGGUGCUAAUACCGGAUAAUGUCUUCGAACCAAAGAUUUAUCGCCUUUGGAUGGGCCCGCGUUGGAUUAGCUAGUUGGUAGGGUAAAAGCCUACCAAGGCGACGAUCCAUAGCUGGUCUGAGAGGAUGAUCAGCCACACUGGGACUGAGACACGGCCCAGACUCCUACGGGAGGCAGCAGUGGGGAAUAUUGGACAAUGGGCGAAAGCCUGAUCCAGCAAUGCCGCGUGAGUGAUGAAGGCCUUAGGGUUGUAAAGCUCUUUUACCCGGGAUGAUAAUGACAGUACCGGGAGAAUAAGCGCCAGCUAACUCCGUG
RNAcentral lists this ribosomal RNA (433 nucleotides) under uncultured bacterium. RNAcentral's name for it is "partial 16S ribosomal RNA". It matches the Rfam family "Bacterial small subunit ribosomal RNA", at positions 29 to 507 of the family's 1533-position model. The record is from RNAcentral.